Long non-coding RNA from Helianthus annuus (common sunflower), 420 nucleotides. RefSeq lists it as uncharacterized. NCBI's taxonomy places the organism in Eukaryota, Viridiplantae, Streptophyta, Magnoliopsida, Asterales, Asteraceae. The record is from RefSeq and is a predicted model, not a curated record. The transcript has 3 exons.
CCAAGGGGAGGGAGAAACCCUAGCUUCAUCUAAUUCACAAGGAAAAUCAUAAAGAUUCAAACAAAUUGAAAGCAUAAUCAGGAAAUUGCAAGCUCUUAACUAAUCCUUUGAAAGGGUGUAAAGGAAGAGGGCUCGGGUUCUAAGAAGUCGGAAAGCUCGCAAGACAAAGGUAAAUCCUCGAUUUAGACGUUUGGACGGCUUGGAACGUGCACACUUGGAUUACGCCCGCCUCACGCUUCCGUUAUUAAGUCUUUUAAAAGGGGUUAAGUUUUGGUCAUAUGUAACUAGGUUUAUGUAGUAUGUUAAUAACUUCGUUGUUGGGUAAAAACUUGGUAGUCGAAGUCAUGUCGUGUCCAAUGUAGGCUUUGUUCGUUUUGGGUUUUGUCAAGAAUGUUAAACGUUGAAGUUUGGUAUGUAUAA